CCUAGGGAGGCAGCAGUGGGGAAUCUUAGACAAUGGGGGCAACCCUGAUCUAGCAUGCCGCGUGAGUGAUGAAGGCCUUAGGGUCGUAAAGCUCUUUCGCCUGUGAUGAUAAUGACAGUAGCAGGUAAAGAAACCCCGGCUAACUCCGUGCCAGCAGCCGCGGUAAUA
Molecule: ribosomal RNA, 168 nt
Filed under: uncultured Alphaproteobacteria bacterium
Lineage: Bacteria; Pseudomonadati; Pseudomonadota; Alphaproteobacteria
Description: partial 16S ribosomal RNA
Rfam family: Bacterial small subunit ribosomal RNA
Source: RNAcentral